Molecule: ribosomal RNA, 498 nt
Filed under: uncultured bacterium
Lineage: Bacteria
Description: partial 16S ribosomal RNA
Rfam family: Bacterial small subunit ribosomal RNA
Source: RNAcentral
AUUGAACGCUGGCGGCAGGCCUAACACAUGCAAGUCGAGCGGUUGAGGAAGCUUGCUACCGAUGCAGCGGCGAACGGGUGAGUAAUACAUGGGAAUCUGCCUGGUAGUGGGGGACAACGUCUCGAAAGGGACGCUAAUACCGCAUACGCCCUACGGGGGAAAGGGGGGGAUCUUCGGACCUCUCGCUAUCAGAUGAGCCCAUGUCAGAUUAGCUAGUUGGUGGGGUAAAGGCUCACCAAGGCGACGAUCUGUAACUGGUCUGAGAGGAUGAUCAGUCACACUGGAACUGAGACACGGUCCAGACUCCUACGGGAGGCAGCAGUGGGGAAUAUUGGACAAUGGGCGCAAGCCUGAUCCAGCCAUGCCGCGUGUGUGAAGAAGGCCUUAGGGUUGUAAAGCACUUUCAGUGGGGAGAAAGGUUAUUCACCUAAUACGUGAGUAAAUUGAUGUUACCCACAGAAGAAGCACCGGCUAACUCCGUGCCAGCCGCCGCAGUAA